UUAACAAGUUGAGUAAUCGCCUCGUAAGAGGAGGAAAGUCCGAACUUCCAUUAAAGGGUAGCGGGUAAUUCCCGUCAUUCGUGAGAAAGAGGUGCGAACAGAGACGCUUUAUUCCGAAAGGAGUAGAGUACCCUUCGGGGUAAGCUCUAAAGGAAACUUUAGAGGUGAAACGGCUAAAUCCUUACCUGGAAGCAAGAACAAACUCUCGCAAGAGAGAAAAGUAGUUCGCUUGAGCUAAGAAGUAAUUCUUAUGCCAGAUAGAUGAUUACAUAAAACAGAAUUCGGCUUACGGACUUGUUAAGGCA
RNAcentral lists this RNase P RNA (305 nucleotides) under Parcubacteria group bacterium. RNAcentral's name for it is "RNase P RNA component class A". It matches the Rfam family "Bacterial RNase P class A". From Rfam's summary of the family: Ribonuclease P (RNase P) is a ubiquitous endoribonuclease, found in archaea, bacteria and eukarya as well as chloroplasts and mitochondria. The record is from RNAcentral.